GACCGCGGGAUUCCGGAUUGUGGGGCGACGCUGCCGGGCCUGCGCCCUGGAGCCCGCGGGUCGCGCCGGCCGGGUGGGCGCCGCCGAGGGGGGAAGGUCCUCGCAGCCUCGCGGCUCGUCCGCCGCAGUGUGGCCGGUGGGCGCCGCCAGCGACAGAGCCUGCGAGGGAAGAGGUAGGCACAGAGGCGCCGGCACAUGGUUCUCUGCUCAUGUUGUAGCUUCUCUCCCGCAGCCCUAAACUU
Long non-coding RNA from Erinaceus europaeus (western European hedgehog), 242 nucleotides. RefSeq lists it as uncharacterized. The record is from RefSeq and is a predicted model, not a curated record. The transcript has 2 exons. Lineage: Eukaryota; Metazoa; Chordata; Mammalia; Eulipotyphla; Erinaceidae.